CAAAUAGAGGCGCCUGUUGCAUGAGUCACCGUUUUCGAGGGAAAGCGACCUGAAAAGGAAACGGCAAAAGGGUAACGGGCCGAAACAGUUUUGUCCCGCUUAACAAACUGUUGGGUCAGUGUGUGAAUAACCGCUGGACUGUCACGGAGAGAUAAAUCCGUGGAGCGCUAUUU
RNAcentral lists this non-coding RNA (173 nucleotides) under marine eukaryotic metagenome. Its description in RNAcentral is "Lysine riboswitch". It matches the Rfam family "Lysine riboswitch aptamer". From Rfam's summary of the family: Riboswitches are metabolite binding domains within certain messenger RNAs that serve as precision sensors for their corresponding targets. Allosteric rearrangement of mRNA structure is mediated by ligand binding, and this results in modulation of gene expression. The record is from RNAcentral.